RNAcentral lists this ribosomal RNA (520 nucleotides) under uncultured Glomus. RNAcentral's name for it is "SSU rRNA". It matches the Rfam family "Eukaryotic small subunit ribosomal RNA", at positions 569 to 1090 of the family's 1831-position model. The record is from RNAcentral. Lineage: Eukaryota; Fungi; Glomeromycota; Glomeromycetes; Glomerales; Glomeraceae.
AGCAGCCGCGGCAAUUCCAGCUCCAAUAGCGUAUAUUAAAGCUGUUGCAGUUAAAAAGCUCGUAGUUGAAUUUCGGGACCAAUCUGCCGGUCGUGCCUCCGGUACGCACUGGUUUUAUUGGUUUCUCCCUUCUGACGAACUAUGAUGUCAUUAAUUUGGUGUCAUGGGGAAUCAGGACUGUUACUUUGAAAAAAUUAGAGUGUUUAUAGCAGGCUCACGCUUGAAUACAUUAGCAUGGAAUAAUGAAAUAGGACGUUUGACCCUAUUUUGUUGGUUUCUAGGAUCGACGUAAUGAUUAAUAGGGAUAGUUGGGGGCAUUAGUAUUCAAUUGUCAGAGGUGAAAUUCUUGGAUUUAUUGAAGACUAACUACUGCGAAAGCAUUUGCCAAGGAUGUUUUCAUUAAUCAAGAACGAAAGUUAGGGGAUCGAAGACGAUCAGAUACCGUCGUAGUCUUAACCAUAAACUAUGCCGACUAGGGAUCGGAUGAUGUUAAUUUUUUAAUGACUCAUUCGGCGCCUUA